RNAcentral lists this ribosomal RNA (490 nucleotides) under uncultured bacterium. Its description in RNAcentral is "partial 16S ribosomal RNA". It matches the Rfam family "Bacterial small subunit ribosomal RNA", at positions 30 to 507 of the family's 1533-position model. The record is from RNAcentral.
AUUGAACGCUGGCGGCAGGCCUAACACAUGCAAGUCGAACGGUAACAGGAAGCAGCUUGCUGCUUCGCUGACGAGUGGCGGACGGGUGAGUAAUGUCUGGGAAACUGCCUGAUGGAGGGGGAUAACUACUGGAAACGGUAGCUAAUACCGCAUAACGUCGCAAGACCAAAGAGGGGGACCUUAUGGCCUCUUGCCAUCGGAUGUGCCCAGAUGGGAUUAGCUAGUAGGUGGGGUAACGGCUCACCUAGGCGACGAUCCCUAGCUGGUCUGAGAGGAUGACCAGCCACACUGGAACUGAGACACGGUCCAGACUCCUACGGGAGGCAGCAGUGGGGAAUAUUGCACAAUGGGCGCAAGCCUGAUGCAGCCAUGCCGCGUGUAUGAAGAAGGCCUUCGGGUUGUAAAGUACCUUCAGCGGGGAGGAAGGGAGUAAAGUUAAUACCUUUGCUCAUUGACGUUACCCGCAGAAGAAGCGCCGGCUAACUCCGUG